Molecule: RNA transcript, 2086 nt
Organism: Oryza brachyantha (malo sina)
Lineage: Eukaryota; Viridiplantae; Streptophyta; Magnoliopsida; Poales; Poaceae
Gene name: protein MULTIPOLAR SPINDLE 1
Exons: 15
Source: RefSeq, a predicted model, not a curated record
CAUUUUUUUUUUAAAAAAAAGAAAGCGGACAGAAACGACGGCGAAGGAUUCCGCCGCGCCGCCGAAAUCGUCAUGGUUCCUCCCGCCGCCCGCCCGCCGACGCCGACGUCGACGCCGACGGCGAAUCCAGCUGCACCCUCCUCGUCGCGGAUUGAUUCGCCGUCGCUCAAGGCCGCCCUCGCCAUGGCUCUCAUCCACUACAAUCGCCUCCCCUCUAGACCCGCCGACGCCGCCGCCUCCUCUCCACAGGCUCUCCUCCACUGGAAGCGCAAGGCCAAGGACCGGAAGCGCGAGAUCCUCCGCCUCCGUGAGGAGCUCAAGCUCCUCCAAGACGGCGCGCGUGGGGAGGAGAUGGAGCCGCCGGUCGCAUCCUGCCGCUGCCACUUCUUCGACGGUUGCGGCGACCUGCCGCCGGAUGGCGAUGCUGGGGAGCACUGGGUCGACGAGGUGCUGCGAAGGAGGUUCCUCAGACUGGUGCGGUGGAAGGAGAAGCGGAGGAGACUGGAUAGAUCACUUCCCACGAGUCGUUUGAUGGAGUAUAACGAUGAGGAUGAGAUACAACAGCUUAGCUUGUCAAUUGAUUUCCUGGUGGAGCUAUCAGAUGGAAUUUUUGCCAAAAGAGAAGCUGGCUCCUCAUUUGCUACAUUUUCUCACCAGGCAGUAGACUUCAUUUUGGCUUCACUGAAGAACAUUCUAUCAUCAGAAAGAGAAAAGGAGAUAAUUGAGGAGAUAAUCAAUGGUUUUGUUGCUCGUUUGAUGAAAAGGAUGUGCGCCACUCCUGAAAAUGCUGGAUCAGUUAACUGCUCGGAUACACAAUUAUCUCUGCAGCACUUGUUACGUAAGUUAGGAAAUGAGGAGUUCGUCGGUCAGAGGAUAAUCCUUGGAGUUUCUCAAAAGAUCUCAAAUGUAUCAGAAAAAUUACUUCUAGUAGACCCAUUUGAUGAUGCCUUCCCUGAAAUGCAUAGCAAUAUGUUUAUUAUGAUACAAUUAAUUGAGCUCCUCAUAUCUGACUACUUCAACAAUUGGCUAUAUCAUCAUCAUUUUGACAAAAAACUUUUUGAAGAAUGGGUCAGAUCUAUUCUCAAGGCACGAAUGGACUUGGAAGCCCUGGAGAGCAGAAAUGGACUCUAUGUGGUGUACAUAGAGCGAGUUAUUGGGAGGUUGGCAAGGGAGGUAGCUCCUGCUGCUCAUCAGGGGAAGCUGGACCUAGAAGUUCUCUCCAAGCUCCUUUGCUGAGAACACGGUGCCUCUGUCUUGCCAAUGAUGAUUAGCUAAAGGAAGAUGGUGUAGCAAGCAGGUGUUUUGUUCUCCAUUGAAUGGCUGGAACUAACUACCAAGGCAUACUCAAUAGUCCUUUUCAGGGAGGCCAAUACCAUCCAGCAUCUGGCAUCUGCUCCAAUCAACAAAUGGCGUGCACCGCCAUUCCAGAGCCUAAAUCCGUCCUUCUUCCUCAAUGGCUAAUUAGAGGAUGGGUGAAAGCAUAACCAGUUUCAAGAAUCAAUAUCAUCUUUCCCUUCAAGUACUCCCUGGAGUCACAGUGGUGGUCUCUAUGAGCCCUAAAGUAAAACCAUCUUUGGAAUUUAUGGACAACCGUAGCAAUCGCAUUACACAGCUCGACGACGAGAUAAUGUGCCUCUCUGCUAGCUUAAUGUUCAGGCCGGGAUCAACAACUUACCAGGUUGUUUGUUUAGUCGUGUAUAUCAAAUGGACGACGAUUAUUUAUACUGUUAUACAUGGAGCUGGGAGAUGCAAGCAAAGCAGUUGUUCCAUUUGCUGAUCGAAUGCUAGGUUGGACAGAACUGUGUGUGACUGCAAGUAAGUUCAUGGAAAAUUCAGUGGAUACUGUGGUGGUGAUGGAUGUUUAUUUAGCGUGCAAUCUGACAGAGAUUUGGUCGGCAGGGAGGCAUGAUGCAUGGGUCCGGAUGAGAUCUGCAUCGACAACUUCGAGGCCGAUAGAUAGCAUAGAUAGCAAAAACUAUCUUAAGAUAUUAGCCUUCUAAGCCCUUCUCUGAGUCUCUACCAAACUAUCUGGUACAGUACUUUGCUCUCCUCCAUAUUCCCCCUUUUGUUUUUUAAAUAUUGAAAA